UGACGGGGGCCCGCACAAGCGGUGGAGCAUGUGGUUUAAUUCGACGCAACGCGCAGAACCUUACCAGGGUUUGACAUCCUGCGACCGCCCCGUAACGGGGGGUUUUCCCGCAAGGGACGCAGAGACAGGUGCUGCAUGGCUGUCGUCAGCUCGUGUCGUGAGAUGUUGGGUUAAGUCCCGCAACGAGCGCAACCCUUGCCUUUAGUUGCCAUCAUUCAGUUGGGCACUCUAGAGGGACCGCCGGCGACAAGCCGGAGGAAGGUGGGGAUGACGUCAAGUCCUCAUGGCCCUUACACCCUGGGCUACACACGUGCUACAAUGGCGGUGACAGUGGGCAGCUACGUCGCGAGACGCGGCUAAUCCCAAAAAACCGUCCCAGUUCAGAUUGUACUCUGCAACUCGAGUACAUGAAGGUGGAAUCGCUAGUAAUCGCAGAACAGCAGGCUGCGGUGAAUACGUUCCCGGGCCUUGUACACACCGCCCGUCACGGCAUGGGAGUUGGUUCUACCCUAAGACAGUGCGCUAACCGCAAGGAGGCAGCUGGCCACGGUAGGUCAGCGGUUGGCCG
This 568-nucleotide ribosomal RNA is filed under the name uncultured Alphaproteobacteria bacterium. Its description in RNAcentral is "bacterial SSU rRNA". It matches the Rfam family "Bacterial small subunit ribosomal RNA", at positions 911 to 1482 of the family's 1533-position model. Lineage: Bacteria; Pseudomonadati; Pseudomonadota; Alphaproteobacteria. The record is from RNAcentral.